UGUCAUAAACUAAUGACUUAUAUAAAUUCUAUUAGAGUUAGACUAAUACAUCACAAAUAUUUUCAAAGAAAACACUGAAAAGUUUAUACUGAUUGUUGAUGCAUCUUGUAAGCUACAUUGCCCUCUCAAUACAUCUGGUAUCCAAAAGAUUAAACGCGCACCUUUGACUCGAACUAUAUAUAAACAUAACAGAUAGUUACAUUGUAUCGAGAUCUUAAGACAUAUGUAUA
This 230-nucleotide unclassified non-coding RNA is filed under the name Hevea brasiliensis (rubber tree). The record is from RNAcentral. Lineage: Eukaryota; Viridiplantae; Streptophyta; Magnoliopsida; Malpighiales; Euphorbiaceae.